AGCGAACGCUGGCGGCAGGCUUAACACAUGCAAGUCGAGCGGGCCCUUCGGGGUCAGCGGCCGACGGGUGAGUAACACGUGGGAACGUACCCUUUGGUUCGGAAUAACGCUGGGAAACUAGCGCUAAUACCGGAUACGCCCUUUUGGGGAAAGGCUUGCUGCCGAAGGAUCGGCCCGCGUCUGAUUAGCUAGUUGGUGGGGUAAUGGCCUACCAAGGCGACGAUCAGUAGCUGGUCUGAGAGGAUGAUCAGCCACACUGGGACUGAGACACGGCCCAGACUCCUACGGGAGGCAGCAGUGGGGAGUAUUGGACAAUGGGCGCAAGCCUGAUCCAGCCAUGCCGCGUGAGUGAUGAAGGCCUUAGGGUUGUAAAGCUCUUUUGUCCGGGACGAUAAUGACGGUACCGGAAGAAUAAGCCCCGGCUAACUUCGUG
This 433-nucleotide ribosomal RNA is filed under the name uncultured bacterium. Its description in RNAcentral is "partial 16S ribosomal RNA". It matches the Rfam family "Bacterial small subunit ribosomal RNA", at positions 29 to 507 of the family's 1533-position model. The record is from RNAcentral.